This 460-nucleotide ribosomal RNA is filed under the name uncultured bacterium. Its description in RNAcentral is "partial 16S ribosomal RNA". It matches the Rfam family "Bacterial small subunit ribosomal RNA", at positions 338 to 795 of the family's 1533-position model. The record is from RNAcentral.
CCUACGGGGGGCUGCAGUGAGGAAUAUUGGUCAAUGGACGAGAGUCUGAACCAGCCAAGUAGCGUGAAGGAUGACUGCCCUAUGGGUUGUAAACUUCUUUUAUAUGGGAAUAAAAUGUUCCACGUGUGGGAUUUUGUAUGUACCAUAUGAAUAAGGAUCGGCUAACUCCGUGCCAGCAGCCGCGGUAAUACGGAGGAUCCGAGCGUUAUCCGGAUUUAUUGGGUUUAAAGGGAGCGUAGGUGGAUUGUUAAGUCAGUUGUGAAAGUUUGCGGCUCAACCGUAAAAUUGCAGUUGAAACUGGCAGUCUUGAGUACAGUAGAGGUGGGCGGAAUUCGUGGUGUAGCGGUGAAAUGCUUAGAUAUCACGAAGAACUCCGAUUGCGAAGGCAGUUCACUGCACUGCAACUGACACUGAGGCUCGAAAGUGUGGGUAUCAAACAGGAUUAGAUACCCGUGUAGUC